AUUGAACGCUGGCGGCAGGCCUAACACAUGCAAGUCGAACGGUAACAGGAAGAAGCUUGCUUCUUUGCUGACGAGUGGCGGACGGGUGAGUAAUGUCUGGGAAACUGCCUGAUGGAGGGGGAUAACUACUGGAAACGGUAGCUAAUACCGCAUAACGUCGCAAGACCAAAAAGGGGGACCUUCGGGCCUCUUGCCAUCGGAUGUGCCCAGAUGGGAUUAGCUAGUAGGUGGGGUAACGGCUCACCUAGGCGACGAUCCCUAGCUGGUCUGAGAGGAUGACCAGCCACACCGGAACUGAGACACGGUCCAGACUCCUACGGGAGGCCGCAGUUGGGAAUAUUGCACAAUGGGGGAAAGCCUGAUGCAGCCAUGCCGCGUGGAUGAAGAAGGCCUUCGGGUUGUAAAGUACUUUCAGCGGGGAGGAAGGGAGUAAAGUUAAUACCUUUGCUCAUUGACGUUACCCGCAGAAGAAGCACCGGCUAACUCCGUG
Molecule: ribosomal RNA, 490 nt
Filed under: uncultured bacterium
Lineage: Bacteria
Description: partial 16S ribosomal RNA
Rfam family: Bacterial small subunit ribosomal RNA
Source: RNAcentral